UCUAUUUUCUUUUCGACUUCACCUUCUUUUUUUCUAGAAGGGCAAAAAUACGAAAACCACGACAUAAACCUAGCUAGGGUUUUUGAUUCCAGAUUUCUUCUGUAGGUGAUGGAGGAGUCUGUGGCAUCUACCACUCGCGAUUUUUCUGAAUUAUCUGUUUCUAUAAACCCACCUCCAUCACGAAGGUUGGAACCGAUCGAUUUUUCUAGAUUAAGAUGGGGUUCAAUAGGUUUCACCCUCCGGAGAAAGGAUCCCAACUUUGAUGGUUGUGUUGAUGGUAACGCUGCACGUUAUGAGCACGUGAUUCUAUUUGAGGGUAGGCUGGGUAGCACUUUCACUGUCGAUGACGGCCCUGAACGAGAUGCUAAUGAUCCUAUAAACGCUGAAUUUCUGGAGGAUAUUUCUAGCUGGACGCGAUACGUUGUUCUUUCUCUUAAAUUCUCUGUCAGAAGCUUCACCCAGUUGCUGCGUGGUGGUGAGCGAGACUUUUGCUUUGUUCAACGCCUAAACACAAUUUUGAAAAAGAAAUCCAACUUUUUGUUUUUAAUUGGUAUUUUUGGAGAGCAUUAAGAAUUUCAGAAUUCCUGAAGAAUUUGAGGAAGUUGGAUUGCAUACUUUUCUGGUGCAAAGAACCUGUAAAGCGUUCGAAGAAGCUGCUGGUAAGUUUGUCCCGAAAAAACAUUGCGAGGAGUCUAUUAAGUAUAUGUGGUUUUGAGGAGUAUCUUAAGCUUAUGUCAUUCGAGCUAAAGAUAUGACUUGUUAACUGGCUGCGAAUCUUACAUAUUAUCAGGGAUUUGAUGUAUGGAAUUAAGCUUACAUUACAGUAUUUGAUGCCGCACCAAGAAAUGCUCUCUCUCACUCAAGUGGUUGUUCUGUUGGUAACGCUGCAUAUUAUGAGCACGUGAUUAAACUUGAGGGAACAAUUUUCACUGUCAGUGACGGCCCUGAACGGGAUGUUAAUGAUCCUAGGAACGCAGAACUGUUGGAGGUAGUUCACGCCUGUUAUUUUGAUUGUGUAAGGAGACUGAACUUCAUAGCCACUAGUUUUUGUUUCUGUCACAGGGUUUGGUUGAAUUCAUCUGGCCGACUCUGGAUGGGCAGUAUAUAUGCUGCAUUUUUUCUCCAGGAUCCCAUUUGAACCCAACCUGUGCAAGGCAGACAAAAAUACAUAGUGGACUUGCAAAUACCAAGGAAAAAUACUUUGUUAGUUAGUUUAAUCUUAUGAUAUUUAGAAGCACAGACGAGGUGGCUAAGUGGUAGUAUUUCUACUUCGGGUGCCUCACCAUACUAUCAUCGCCCCUGUCUAAGGUGCAUCGGAUUCAAGUACUUGGAAAACAAACAUAAACUUGUAUAUAGGUGCCCUGAAACUAUAUGCACUUUUAUCGACAUUAACUAUUUCACUUCUUUAGUCAAUUGGCUAGAUAGAAGAGAAGAUAUCUUAUCUUGUUUCCGUUUUGUGAGUAAGGCAUCACUGUUACCCUAGAUUACUACCCAGCCCCUCGCCCCUAACAACAUAGGUUUUCUCUCCUCCCAUUUAGUGAUAUGCUCAGAUAAAUAUCCAUCACAGCCCCCAGAUUUCUUGGAAGUAAGCAGCUGGUUGAAGACUUGGGAAAUUUACGACAGUCCUGAUUGAUUCACUUGGUCAUUUACUAUUGGGUCAAGUCAAGCUUCGUACGCUAAGAGCAUCAAGAACUACAAAAUUCCCAAAGAAUUUGCAGAAGAUGUUGAGAACCUGUAACGCGUCCAAAGAAGCUGCUGGCAAGUUUGUCCUAGACGAAUGUGUUGAGGAGAGUUUUGAGUAUAUGUGGCUUUGAGGAGUAUCUUAAGCUUAUGUUCCUUUUUUUUUGCUUAUGUCAUUCGAGCUAAAGAUAUUAUUUGUUAACUGGCUGUGAAUCUUACAUAUUAUCAACUUUGGGACUGGGGUAAUGGUGUAUCAGAUUUAAGUACUGUGUAAUUUCUGUGUACUGGGUCUGGGUGUUUUGUAACUUUUACAAUUUUCUGGACACCGCUAAGCACUUGAGUAAUUUUAUCUUUUUGGUUGAAAUAAUAGCUUUAACCCCUUGCGGUUCCAUAUUUA
Papaver somniferum (opium poppy) is the source of this 2077-nucleotide RNA transcript. RefSeq lists it as uncharacterized. Lineage: Eukaryota; Viridiplantae; Streptophyta; Magnoliopsida; Ranunculales; Papaveraceae. The record is from RefSeq and is a predicted model, not a curated record. The transcript is spliced from 10 exons.